UUAAGUUCUGACACUAACCAGAGUUAGUGCAACCCCACAGGUAAAGGGCUAAUCUCACAUGACUGCCCUCACUUCAAAAGCCAAUAAUAAGUUGUACGUCCCCUGGUUACCCACAACUUCUGUCUGAUUGGGCUCCAAAUCAGAAGGUCCCAAGACCCUCCUCCUUGGAUUGAAUAAUUUGCUAGAAGAGCUGACAGAAAUCAGGGAAACCCAUUUACCAGUUUAUUGUAUAGGAUACGGGAUACAGAUGAAUAACCAGAUGAAGAGGUACUUGCAAUGAGGCGUGUCCUGAGUGCAGGAGUUUCUGUCCCUCUGAAGUUAGGGUUCACAGCCCUCCCAGCACAUCGGUGUGCUCACCAGCCUGGAAGCUCUCUGAACCCCACACUUUAGGGAUUUUUAUGAAUGUUCAUCCUGUAGACAUGAUCUAUUAUUAACUCCAUUUCCAGCCCAUCUUCACUCUUUGGAGAAUGGAUAGUGUGAGCGUGUGAUUAUACCGGGUAACUCCAUGGUCUAUUGCAAGCACCCAUUUUAGUGGUGGUUGGGAGGAUUAAAUAAGGUUACACACAUAGAACAUCCCAAAUUUUAUCAUUUCCCAGGGUUAGCAUCAUUGGGGAUUCUACUAGUUUCUAACAGAUAUGACUCCUGGAGGGAAGCAUUCAUGAGACAAGAAGUUACAGAAGACCAGUGGCUUGAAGGUUUCCUUUGGGUAGAUUUAGAGACUGCAUUAGAAGUUUGACCAUCGUCUACAAUAUAUGGGUUUCUUGGCCCCAUUUAUAUCAACUCCACUCUCCUAAACCUUAACCCAGACAUUUAGCGAUCCUGAUAUCAAAUUCAAGAAUAAAGCAAAUCAGUCCAUUUAUUUAAGAGGGAGAAUGAACCAGUUGUAUUUAUGUGCAUAUGAUGAGGAAGAGAGGAAGCUGAGCUCUGUGUUACAAACUGAGAACUUGGGUGAGAAAGGUACAUAGAUUAAUUUAUAGGAUUCUGUCAGCAAUGCUAUUUUAAAAAUAGGCUCUCUGGCAAACAAAAGUGAAACAACUGGAAUUGCUCCAGCCUUGGGCUUGUAAAACCAGCAGUCAGCGAAUCCAAUAAACAGAUGCACAUUCCUGCCUUGAACCACGCCUCCUCCCCCACCCUCUUCCCCAUCCUACACACCAGCACUCAUGAAAAUAUUCAAACUUGGUUUACAAAACCACAGCCUCAACCCACAUUCACCACAGCCACAGUCUCUUAUCUCCUCUCCUUUGGCCGUUUCCCAGCAUACUGACUCUUCUGCCCAGCUUUGCAUGCUUCACAUAUAAGAGUGAAGCUCAUCUUUGGCAGAAUCAUUCAUAAAGGAAAUUGACUAGGAUGGAGCCUGUGUUGAAGCAUUAAGGACUUCCUUUUGCAUCUGCAUCCAUUCUUUUUUUUUUUUUUUUGGUCUUUUUUUUUGCCAUUUCUUGGGCCGCUCCAGCGGCAUAUGGAGGUUCCCAGGCUAGGGGUCGAAUCGGAGCUGUAGACUCUGGCCUACGCCAGAGCCACAGCAACGUGGGAUCCUAGCCAUGUCUGCAACCUACGCCACAGCUCACGGCAACGCCGGAUCGUUAACCCACUGAGCAAGGGCAGGGACCGAACCCGCAACCUCAUGGUUCCUAGUCGGAUUCGUUAACCACUGCGCCACGACGGGAACUCCUGCAUCCAUUCUUUAGCUUCUGAAGGAGUGUUGUUCAACCAGCUAGGAAUACCUAUGGUGGAGUUACUUGUUCAUUCCCUAAAUAUUUUGAAUUUUAUUUUAUGCCAAGUACUGUGCUGGGGACCAAAGAUAGGGCAGGGUACAGAUCCCAACCCUUCCCUUGAGGGGAGUCUGGUAGGGAGACAAACAGGUAAACAGGAGUGCUGGACAUGUUGGGAACAGACAGGCUAGAGAGAAGGCAGGGCAUAGCUAUGAAGGGCUCCUUGAGGAAGGGCAAACAGAAGUUUAUUAAGUGAAGGUGGGGAAGAGAGUUGUGAAAGGAAUUGAAGGCAUAGCAUAUGCAAAGUCCUGGGAGUAAAAUUCCAUAUUAAUUUGCCAAUUAGGAUAUUAUAAGAGAAUUAGUAUCACCAUCCAUGUGUUCCAAAUUCUUGGUCCACAAGCUGACCAUUAAGUUGAAGGAAGUCCAGCAGUGCUGGUAGAGGCAAUGGGCUGAGACCAACGAUUGGGCCAGUAGAAAACAUCUGAAAUUUGAGAUUGAAGGUCUUUAGGAAUUAUGGCUUUUUUGUUGUUGUUGUUGUUGUUGUAGUUUAUCCCCAAACUUGCUACUUUCUAGUGUUGUAAACCAGUGACUUACGUACUAUAAUACCUGCCUGACUCCUAUGAGAUCCUGAUCUCUGGUCUCUGUCAUUCUCUUAACUUUUUUUUUUCUUUUUUUUUUUGCUGCACCCAGAGCAUGGGGACGUUCCUGGGCCAGGGAUCAAUCUUGCGACACAGCAGUGACCCAAGCUACUGCAGUGACAAGGCCAGGUCCUUAACCUACUGAGCCACCAGGGAACUCCUUUUUUUGUUUGUUUUGAUUUUUAUUUCUUUCUUUAUUUUUCUUUUUAGGGCUGCACCUGUGGCAUAUGGAAUUUCCUAGGCUAGGGAGCUGCAUCUUCCUAAGCCAUGGCAACACUGGCCAUAUCUGCGAACUAUACCACAGCUUGUGGCAAUGCCAGACCCUUAACCCACUGAGCAAGGCCAGGGAUCAAAACUGCAUCAUCACAGAGACUACGUCCAGUUCUUAACCCGCUGAGCCACAAUGGAAACUCUUUGAUUUUUAAUAUCAAUAGCUUGAUUGCUAGAUAGAUAGAUCAUUCUUUCAUUCAACAAAUGUUUAUUUUGGAACUAUGAGGAGGGCUGGAUAUAUACCGGUAAUUUUGGCUCUCAUAGACCUUAAAGUCUGAAAUAGAAGACAGAUAAGUAAAUAAACAAAUGGAUGUAUAAUAUAUAAAUUAUGACAAGUGCUUUGAGGGUGGUGAGAGUUGGUCUACGUUAGACUGAGUGGCUAGAGAAGGCUUCUCUGAGGGAGAAUGUUCAAGCAAAGCCUGGAAGGAUGAGAAGAAAGUCUUUGGAAGAAUGUUGAGGAAAUGUCUUCCAGGCAGCAAAAGUCAAGGCAAAGAUGAAGUUGGGCAGGUUGUGACUUGCACAAAAGUGCUUCUGCUCACCAAACCAUCCACCUAGUCCAGGGCCGUGUCUGUCCAGAGGAAGCGGUGUGCACAUUACAGAAUGGGGAGCAGAAGGCACUGGAGAAGGCCCUGUAGAAAUAACCAAAGAUAGCAGAUCUUUGCACUUGGAAGAACAGAUGUCCUUGUAAAGUAGAAUGAACACUAAGGAGGUGGAGAGGGUGGAGUUGGGCAUGGAUUAAGCUGUCGAUGUUGUGGGAAGUCCAGUGAUGCUGGGAAGGCAGUUUGUGGAGAGCACCAUGACAGUGAUAACAUCAGGGAAGCGUCUCCACUUGGAGACCCAAUAAGACAGCUCAUCUAGCUUCUAGGUAGGUCAGUUCUCUGGGAAGAAAACAUUUAUUAAUACAAAGAAUUGAAGGAAAGGAAGCCUCCGGCCAUUGGACCCUGGUGGACACUGGUCUCCGGCUCCAUGGGAAAGAGGAAGGAAAUAGAAGGAAAAAGGGUUAGAACUAAGUAACAAUACAGAAACCUACUCACUAGAACUGGGUCCUGGGAUCAGGAGAGCAUCAGGGCAAAGUUCUCUGCCUGUGAUGUGAUCGGUUUGUGGCCUUGACAUUCUUUCCAUAGAGAAAUUUGAGGCAGGCAAAGCUUGGCUUGUACAAAGGACUUAAGCUACUUCAGAUCUGAUGAUUAGAUGGACAAUGGUAGUUAGGCAAGUCAUAACACGGUCUACCCACCUGGUGCUUUAAACAAAGCAUAGUGUAAAUUUCGUUUGACGUGACUCAGUCUGGGUAUAUUAGCGGCAACUCUUAGUCAUUUGUGCAUUCUUUUCUUGGUUGCAUCAGACAGUUCAUAUCCACCACCUCACAUCCUCUCUACCACUCCUGUCCCCGGGGGCCCUCGGCCAUUUAUUUUCCCAGUUGCUAUGGCAAUGAGCUUCACAUGCCCAACAAUGCCCCACUUCCUGCCCCAGCUGUACAUGACUUGCUUGCUGCUCUGGGCUUUCCUUAUGGCCUCUACGGUGUGAGAUGCUGUGGAAUCUGAACUGGCACCGUGGUCUAUGUAACCUGAGAGUGUGGGUGACUUAAUGUUUUGUGAGGUAAACUUGGGUCAAGGUGGCAUGGAAGCUAGCUGGUAAAUUCUUCCUUCCUCCCCUGAGACCUAGCAGUCUACGUGUCUCAGAAGAUGACUUUACCAGAUGGAAGAGACAAUUGUCUUCGUUUCCAAACCAUGGCUGACUGAAUGGCCUUCCUUCUCUGCUGCACUCCCCCUCUGCCUCAUUUCUAUUUCUUGGCAUGGCACCUUUAAUGACAGAGUAGUGUAGAAGAUUUUGUUUCAGGCUUUGUCAAGAUACUAUCUGUUUUAGAACUGUGUUGGGGCUAGCUUAUAGGUUAGUAGCUGCACAAUCCAAUAUUAGCCAAAAGCGAAAUGUGGCUAUAGAGCACUCACAAUGUGGCUGAUCCUAAUUAAGACAUUGUGUAAGUUUGGAGUUCCUAUUGUGGCUCAGUGGAUUAAGAACCCAACAGAGUGUCUGUGAAGAUAUGGGUUUCAAACCUGGCCUCACUCAGAAAGUUAAGGAUCUGAUGUUGCUGAAAGCUGCUAUAUAGGUCACAGACGUGGCUCAGAUCCAGUGUUACUGUGUCUGUGGUGUAGGCCUGCAGCUGCAGCUCUGGUUCAGCCCCUGGCCUGGGAACUUCCAUAUGCCAUGGGUGCAGCUGUUUAAAAAAAAAAAAAGAUGUUGUGUAAGUUUAAGACAUGUUGGGGGUAGGGGUGGGGCAAGAUGGCAGAGUAGGAAGACCCUGAGCCCACCUCCUCUGAUGGACACACCAAAAUUACAACUAUUUAGAUUUCGAUUGAUGAGAGUGACCCAAAGAAUAAAAGAAAAUAUUUUCCAUAACACAAAGAGAUGGAUAAGAGGGGCUCAGAUGCAGUGUAGUCAAGCUACCAUGGAUGUGAGACCUACAAAUGGGAAGAUAAUCACGAUUGCAGAGAUUCUCCCUAAGAAGUCAGGGGUCCAAGCUCCACAUCAGGCUCCCCAACAUAGGGGUUCUGCACCAGGAAAAUGAACUCCCAGAACAUCUGGCUUUGAAGGCCAGCAGAGCUUAUGUACAUGGGAGCUGUUUGAAUCAGACUCUGCUCUUAAAAAAUUUUUUGGUCUAUCCCAUGAUGGAGAAGAAUACCAAAAACUCUGUCCCAGGAGAUUGGAUAUAGUUCCCUGUGCUGUACAGUAGGACCUCAUUGCUUAUCCAUUCUAAAUGUGAUAGUUUGCAUCUAGUAACCCCCAACCCCAGUCCAUCCCCCUCCCUCCCCCUCUCUCUCCCCCUUGGCAAACACAAGUCUGUUCUCUAGGUCUGUGCAGAGCCUCCAGUCUUAAAGGGCUCAUGUAGAAUCUCACACUUUCUGAGUUCUAGCUCAGAGAUAGUAAUUUGAAAGGUGCCUGGGUUAGACUUACUUGCUGAGACUCCCUCUUUGGGACACAAUGUGGGUGGCAGCCAUUUCUGGGACCUCAUUCUAUAACAAGGACACUGGCCCUGGAAAGUGCCAUUUUGGAGGCUUUCCUCCAGCCUAUGAGUGAGGGGCUUAUCUGUCUACCAGCAGGUCAGCAAUAGUCCAGGAUCCCCUCAGAGCCACAUAGUCAGCUGGGUGGGGGUGUACCCCGUCCACCAUCAGAGUGGCAGCCACUGCAUGAAAGAGGACCUCACAGCCAAUGUUGAGGGGAGCAAAUGUUCCUACCAGUGUGCCCACAGUAGUUGGCCCAUCACAAAGGAAGAGCCCACAUAAGGGGCACCCCUAGAGCAUAUAGAGUAUGCUCCUUAGCCCCACAGAAUGUCUCCCAGAUAGGGUUAUUUCUGGAAGAUCAGGAAACACAACCAAGAUACCUAGUAUUAGAAAUUAGCACAGAAAACAAGGCAAAAAGAG
Molecule: long non-coding RNA, 6033 nt
Filed under: Sus scrofa (pig)
Lineage: Eukaryota; Metazoa; Chordata; Mammalia; Artiodactyla; Suidae
Description: lncRNA (ENSSSCG00015012146.1)
Source: RNAcentral